This 125-nucleotide ribosomal RNA is filed under the name Diaphorina citri (Asian citrus psyllid). Lineage: Eukaryota; Metazoa; Arthropoda; Insecta; Hemiptera; Psyllidae. The record is from RNAcentral.
ACUAGCAGUAAUAGCACCUUGAAUGCACCAGUUUCUAGUUUCUAAUGGAUCAAUGAAGUUAAUUAAUGCUGUGCGUGGUUGGUAUCCGGAUGGGUGGUCAUCUGGGGAAUCGCUGGCUGCUGGCU